This 468-nucleotide ribosomal RNA is filed under the name uncultured bacterium. Its description in RNAcentral is "partial 16S ribosomal RNA". It matches the Rfam family "Bacterial small subunit ribosomal RNA", at positions 28 to 507 of the family's 1533-position model. The record is from RNAcentral.
GACGAACGCUGGCGGCGUGCUUAACACGUGCAAGUCGAACGGAAAGGCCCUGCUUUUGUGGGGUGCUCGAGUGGCGAACGGGUGAGUAACACGUGAGUAACCUGCCCUUGACUUUGGGAUAACUUCAGGAAACUGGGGCUAAUACCGGAUAGGAGCUCCUGCUGCAUGGUGGGGGUUGGAAAGUUUCGGCGGCUGGGGAUGGACUCGCGGCUUAUCAGCUUGUUGGUGGGGUAGUGGCUUACCAAGGCUUUGACGGGUAGCCGGCCUGAGAGGGUGACCGGCCACAUUGGGACUGAGAUACGGCCCAGACUCCUACGGGAGGCAGCAGUGGGGAAUAUUGCACAAUGGGCGGAAGCCUGAUGCAGCAACGCCGCGUGCGGGAUGACGGCCUUCGGGUUGUAAACCGCUUUCGCCUGUGACGAAGCGUGAGUGACGGUAAUGGGUAAAGAAGCACCGGCUAACUACGUG